AACUGAAGAGUUUGAUCCUGGCUCAGAUUNAACGCUGGCGGCAUGCUUUACACAUGCAAGUCGAACGGUAACAGGGAGCUUGCUCCGGUGACGAGUGGCGGACGGGUGAGUAAUAAUCUGGAACGUACCCAGAAGUGGGGGAUAACGUAGCGAAAGUUACGCUAAUACCGCAUACGAUCUAUGGAUGAAAGUGGGGGAUCGCAAGACCUNACUCUUUUGGAGCGGCCGAUAUCUGAUUAGCUAGUUGGUGAGGUAAAGGCUCACCAAGGCGACGAUCAGUAGCUGGUCUGAGAGGACGACCAGCCACACUGGAACUGAGACACGGUCCAGACUCCUACGGGAGGCAGCAGUGGGGAAUUUUGGACAAUGGGCGCAAGCCUGAUCCAGCAAUGCCGCGUGAGUGAAGAAGGCCUUCGGGUUGUAAAGCUCUUUUGUCAGGGAAGAAACUGGAAUGGCUAAUAUCUGNNUACGAUGACGGUACCUGCAGAAUAAGCACCGGCUAACUUCGUGCCAGCAGCCGCGGUAAUACGUAGGGUGCAAGCGUUAAUCGGAAUUACUGGGCGUAAAGCGUGCGCAGGCGGUUUUGUAAGUCUGUCGUGAAAGCCCCGGGCUUAACCUGGGAAUUGCGAUGGAGACUGCAAGGCUUGAAUCUGGCAGAGGGGGGUAGAAUUCCACGUGUAGCAGUGAAAUGCGUAGAGAUGUGGAGGAACACCGAUGGCGAAGGCAGCCCCCUGGGUCAAGAUUGACGCUCAUGCACGAAAGCGUGGUUAGCAAACAGGAUUAGAUACCCUGGUAGUCCACGCCCUAAACGAUGUCUACUAGUUGUYGGGUCUUAAUUGACUUGGUAACGCAGCUAACGCGUGAAGUAGACCGCCUGGGGAGUACGGUCGCAAGAUUAAAACUCAAAGGAAUUGACGGGGACCCGCACAAGCGGUGGAUGAUGUGGAUUAAUUCGAUGCAACGCGAAAAACCUUACCUACCCUUGACAUGUCAGGAACCUCCGAGAGAUUGGAGGGUGCCCGAAAGGGAGCCUGAACACAGGUGCUGCAUGGCUGUCGUCAGCUCGUGUCGUGAGAUGUUGGGUUAAGUCCCGCAACGAGCGCAACCCUUGUCAUUAGUUGCUACAUGGCAAUGAGCACUCUAAUGAGACUGCCGGUGACAAACCGGAGGAAGGUGGGGAUGACGUCAAGUCCUCAUGGCCCUUAUGGGUAGGGCUUCACACGUCAUACAAUGGUCGGUACAGAGGGCCGCCAACCCGCGAGGGGGAGCUAAUCCCAGAAAGUGUAUCGUAGUCCGGAUCGCAGUCUGCAACUCGACUGCGUGAAGUUGGAAUCGGUAGUAAUCGCGGAUCAGCAUGCCGCGGUGAAUACGUUCCCGGGCCUAGUACACACCGCCCGUCACACCAUGGGAGUGGGUGGUACCAGAAGUAGGUAGCUUAACCACGAGGAGGGCGCUUCC
Molecule: ribosomal RNA, 1458 nt
Filed under: Telluria mixta DSM 4832
Lineage: Bacteria; Pseudomonadati; Pseudomonadota; Betaproteobacteria; Burkholderiales; Oxalobacteraceae
Description: 16S ribosomal RNA
Rfam family: Bacterial small subunit ribosomal RNA
Source: RNAcentral